AUUGAACGCUGGCGGCAGGCCUAACACAUGCAAGUCGAACGAGUGGCGGACGGGUGAGUAAUGCUUGGGAAUCUGCCUGAUGGAGGGGGAUAACUACUGGAAACGGUCGCUAAUACCGCAUACCAUCGGAUGUGCCCAGGUGGGAUUAGCUAGUUGGUGGGGUAAAGGCCUACCUAGGCGACGAUCCCUAGCUGGUCUGAGAGGAUGACCAGCCACACUGGAACUGAGACACGGUCCAGACUCCUACGGGAGGCAGCAGUGGGGAAUAUUGCACAAUGGGCGCAAGCCUGAUGCAGCCAUGCCGCGUGUAUGAAGAAGGCCUUCGGGUUGUAAAGUACUUUCAGCGGGGAGGCGUUACCCGCAGAAGAAGCACCGGCUAACUCCGUACCAGCAGCCGCGGUAAUAC
This 406-nucleotide ribosomal RNA is filed under the name uncultured bacterium. RNAcentral's name for it is "partial 16S ribosomal RNA". It matches the Rfam family "Bacterial small subunit ribosomal RNA", at positions 30 to 526 of the family's 1533-position model. The record is from RNAcentral.